GUAGGUGAACCUGCGGAAGGAUCAUUAUUGAAAUAAACCUGAUGAGUUGUUGCUGGUUCUCUAGAGAGCAUUGUGCACGCUUGUCAUCUUUAUGUCUCCACCUGUGCACAUUUUGUAGACCUGGAUCACUCUCUAAAAUGCUUAACCAGCAUUUUAGGUUGGAGGAAUUUGACUUUGUGGUCUUUCCUUGCAUUUCUAGGUCUAUGUUCUUUUUCAUAUAAUCUUAUUGUGAUAUAAUGGACCCUAUAUAAUAUAAACCUAUACAACUUUCAGCAACGGAUCUCUUGGCUCUC
This 293-nucleotide unclassified non-coding RNA is filed under the name rhizosphere metagenome. RNAcentral's name for it is "partial ribosomal RNA internal transcribed spacer region". The record is from RNAcentral.